AGCUGCUUCCGGCCGCUGGUCGCAGGGCUGCGGGACUACAAUCUUCGCAUGAAAUGGAAGAGAGGGUGGUGCGGAUAGCUUGAGGAAGGUACGGAUACCUUGAGGGAGGAACACUACAAGGCCUGUUAGAGAAGAAAGGGUAGAAUCCCGAGAAUGUUUUCCCCACAGUGCUGAUAAGGAGAGACCACUAUCCCAUCUACUGCUACAGCUCUGGAGACAGAGCUCUCCCACCUGUCAUAUAGAACACAAGGACCAAUCUGCAGAGAAAGAGCAUCCAAACCUGAUCCAGUGGACACUGGGGAAAAACUCACCACAGCUGAGUGUGGAAAAACAAGGCCAACACACACAUCUCUGCACAGAUACAUCUCCCAUAAAGAAACUAAAGUGUUAAUUUACAGGGCACUGUUGCAGACCCACUUCAGCUGGAAGCUAGGAACAUGGACAAGGAGCCUCUCUACCACCAAGGGAGAGAGAGGAAUGUGCUCUUGUCCUGGCAUUGCAUCCACAGGAGGGGCAGGAAAUUCUUUGAAGUUCGUUUUCAUAGAAUUCUUCAUACCUGUUUCUAUGAGGAAUGAACUGGAUGUGUUUGAAGACAAGCUGAAGAGCUACGUUACCUCUGUGAACAAAGUGGGGAUGCUGGCUCCAUUAACCCUGCAGGUGAAAAAGCUGAUCAACCCCAGGUCAUAUUUUGUAAACAUGUUUAAGGCUAAAUUAAAAUUUGAACAUGCUCUAAGAA
Molecule: long non-coding RNA, 736 nt
Filed under: Homo sapiens (human)
Lineage: Eukaryota; Metazoa; Chordata; Mammalia; Primates; Hominidae
Description: long intergenic non-protein coding RNA 2987
Source: RNAcentral